GGGGAAUUUUGGACAAUGGGCGCAAGCCUGAUCCAGCCAUGCCGCGUGGGUGUAGAAGGCCUUCGGGUUGUAAAGCCCUUUUGUUGGGAAAGAAAAGCAGCCGGCCAAUACCCGGUUGUUCUGACGGUACCCAAAGAAUAAGCACCGGCUAACUCCGUGCCAGCAGCCGCGGUAAUACGAAGGGUGCAAGCGUUACUCGGAAUUACUGGGCGUAAAGCGUGCGUAGGUGGUGGUUUAAGUCCGUUGUGAAAGCCCUGGGCUCAACCUCGGAACUGCAUUUGAAACUGGAAGUCUGGAGAUCAGGAGAGGUUAGCGGAAUACCGAGUGUAGAGGUGAAAUUCGUCGAUAUUCGGUGGAACACCAGUGGCGACGGCGGCUAACUGGACUGAUACUGACGCUGAGGUGCGAAAGUGUGGUGAGCAAACA
This 426-nucleotide ribosomal RNA is filed under the name uncultured Pseudomonadota bacterium. RNAcentral describes it as "bacterial SSU rRNA". It matches the Rfam family "Bacterial small subunit ribosomal RNA", at positions 356 to 774 of the family's 1533-position model. The record is from RNAcentral. Lineage: Bacteria; Pseudomonadati; Pseudomonadota.